Molecule: ribosomal RNA, 1516 nt
Filed under: uncultured bacterium
Lineage: Bacteria
Description: bacterial SSU rRNA
Rfam family: Bacterial small subunit ribosomal RNA
Source: RNAcentral
AACGAACGCUGGCGGCGUGGAUUAGGCAUGCAAGUCGAACGAGAUUUUCAGUUCUUUUUCCCUUCGGGGAAAAAUGCUGGAAUGAGAGUGGCGAACGGGUGAGUAAUGCUUGGGUAAUUUACCUUUAAGUUGGGGAUAGCCCUUCGAAAGGAGGGGUAAUACCGAAUGUGAUUAUUUUACGCAUGUAGAAUUGUUUAAAGGUGGGGAUCCUUCGGGACCUGCCGUUUAAAGAUAAGCCCAUGUCCUAUCAGCUUGUUGGUGAGGUAAUGGCUCACCAAGGCAAAGACGGGUAGCUGGUCUGAGAGGAUGGUCAGCCACACUGGGACUGAGACACUGCCCAGACUCCUACGGGAGGCUGCAGUCGAGAAUCAUUCGCAAUGCGCGAAAGCGUGACGAUGCGACGCCGCGUGGAGGAUGAAGGCCUUCGGGUCGUAAACUCCUGUCAUGAGGGAACAAUGAUUAGUAGGCUAAUACCCUAUUGAAGUGAUAGUACCUCAAGAGGAAGCCACGGCUAACUCUGUGCCAGCAGCCGCGGUAAUACAGAGGUGGCAAGCGUUGUUCGGAUUUACUGGGCGUAAAGGGUGCGUAGGCGGCGUUAUAUGUCGGAUGUGAAAGCUCACUGCUCAACAGUGGAACGGCAUUCGAAACUGUAGUGCUAGAGUACAGGAGGGGAGAGCGGAAUUCUCGGUGUAGCGGUGAAAUGCGUAGAUAUCGAGAAGAAGGCCGGUGGCGAGAGCGGCUCUCUGGACUGAUACUGACGCUGAGGCACGAAAGCUGGGGGAGCGAACAGGAUUAGAUACCCUGGUAGUCCCAGCCGUAAACGUUGUGUACUUGGUAUAGGGAGAUUGUCCCUCUCUGUGCCGGAGCUAACGCAUUAAGUACACCGCCUGGGGAGUACGGCCGCAAGGCUAAAACUCAAAGGAAUUGACGGGGGCCCGCACAAGCGGUGGAGCAUGUGGCUUAAUUCGAUGCAACGCGAAGAACCUUACCUGGGCUUGACAUGCAGGUGGUACAACCUCGAAAGGGGAAGGACCCCGCAAGGGGAGCUUGCACAGGUGCUGCAUGGCUGUCGUCAGCUCGUGCCGUGAGGUGUUGGGUUAAGUCCCGCAACGAGCGCAACCCUUAUGGCUAGUUGCCACCUUCACAGAAAUGUGAGGCGCACUCUAGUCAGACUGCCCCGGUUAACGGGGAGGAAGGUGGGGAUGACGUCAAGUCAGUAUGGUCCUUAUGUCCAGGGCUGCACACGUGCUACAAUGGGCGGUACAGAGGGAAGCAAAACUGCGAAGUUGAGCAAAUCCUAAAAACCGUCCUCAGUUCGGAUUGGAGUCUGCAACUCGACUCCAUGAAGUUGGAAUCGCUAGUAAAGACGUAUCAGCUACGACGUCUUGAAUACGUUCCCGGGCCUUGUACACACCGCCCGUCACAUCACGAAAGUCGACUGCACCCGAAGUCGCUAGGCUAACCCUAACCUCGGUUAAGGAGGCAGGUGCCGAAGGUGUGGUUGAUGAUUGGGAUG